AACGAACGCUGGCGGCAUGCCUAACACAUGCAAGUCGAACGAGACCUUCGGGUCUAGUGGCGCACGGGUGCGUAACGUGUGGGAACCUGCCCUUAGGUUCGGAAUUACUCCUCGAAAGGGGUGCUAAUAUCGGAUAAUUUCCUCGGAUAACAGAUUUAUCGUCCUUGGAUGGGCCCGCGUUGGCUUAGCCAGUUGGUAGGGUAAAAGCCUACCAAGGCGACGCUCCAUAGCUGGUCUGAGAGGAUGAUCAGCGACUCUGAGGCUGAGACACGGCCCAGACUCCUACGCGAGGCAGCAGUGGGUAAUAUUGCACUAUCGGCGAAGUCCUGAUCCAGCUAUGCCGCUUGAGUGAUGAAGGCCUUAGGGUUGUAAAGCUCUUUUACCCGGGAUGAUAAUGACGGUACCGAGAGAAUAAGCUCCGGCUAACUCCGUG
Molecule: ribosomal RNA, 433 nt
Filed under: uncultured bacterium
Lineage: Bacteria
Description: partial 16S ribosomal RNA
Rfam family: Bacterial small subunit ribosomal RNA
Source: RNAcentral